Molecule: non-coding RNA, 43 nt
Filed under: Trichobilharzia regenti
Lineage: Eukaryota; Metazoa; Platyhelminthes; Trematoda; Strigeidida; Schistosomatidae
Source: RNAcentral
AUUAGCUGACAAGUCCCAAAUAGGACGAAAUGCCAUCCUGGAU